This 423-nucleotide ribosomal RNA is filed under the name uncultured bacterium. RNAcentral describes it as "partial 16S ribosomal RNA". It matches the Rfam family "Bacterial small subunit ribosomal RNA", at positions 361 to 776 of the family's 1533-position model. The record is from RNAcentral.
AUAUUUCACAAUGAGCUAAAGCCUGAUCCAGCCAUUCAGCGUGUGUGAAGAAGGUCUUCGGCUUGUAAAGCACUUUAAGUUGGGAGGAAGGGCAGUAGGUUAAUACCUUGCUGUUUUGACGUAACCGACAGAUUAAGCACCGGCUACCUUCGUUCCAGUAGCUGCGGUAAUACGAAGGGUGCAAGCGUUAAUCGGAAUUACUGGGCGUAAAGCGCACGUAGGUGGAUUGUUAAGUUGGAGGUGAAAGCCCCGGGCUCAACCUAGGAACUGCUUUAAAAACUGACAAGCUAGAGUAUGGCAGAGGGUGAUGGAAUUUCCUGUGGAGCGGUAAAAUGCGUAGAUAUAGGUAUGAACAUCAGUGGCGAUGGCGACUACCUGGACUGAUACUGACACUGAGGUGCGAACGCGUGGGGAGCAAACGGU